This 554-nucleotide ribosomal RNA is filed under the name Dacryopinax elegans. RNAcentral's name for it is "eukaryotic LSU rRNA". It matches the Rfam family "Eukaryotic large subunit ribosomal RNA", at positions 38 to 610 of the family's 3401-position model. The record is from RNAcentral. Lineage: Eukaryota; Fungi; Basidiomycota; Dacrymycetes; Dacrymycetales; Dacrymycetaceae.
GCAUAUCAAUAAGCGGAGGAAAAGAAACUAACAAGGAUUCCCCUAGUAACUGCGAGUGAAGCGGGAAAAGCUCAAAUUUAAAAUCUGCCAACCGGCCGAGUUGUAAUCUAGAGAAGUGUUUUCGGUCGUUAUCUCGGACAAGGCCCUUUGAACAGGGCGUCAUAGAGGGUGAGAAUCCCGUACUUGCCGAGUUCCUAAUGACUAUGUGAUACGCUUUCAAAGGUCGAGUUGUUUGGGAAUGCAGCUCAAAACGGGUGGUAAAUUCCAUCUAAAGCUAAAUAUUGGUGGGAGACCGAUAGCGAACAAGUACCGUGAGGGAAAGAUGAAAAGCACUUUGGAAAGAGAGUUAAACAGUACGUGAAAUUGUUGAAAGGGAAGCGCUUGAAGUUAGUCGCGUUUGCAGGGAUUCAGCCGUCAAGGUGCAUUUCCUUGUGAACGGGCCAACAUCAUUUUCGGGCGCGGGAUAAGGGCUUGGGGAAUGUGGCAACCUCGGUUGUGUUAUAGCCCCUUGUCGUACACCGUGCCCGGGAGUGAGGACUGCCAUGUAGGAGUGC